RNAcentral lists this ribosomal RNA (427 nucleotides) under uncultured bacterium. RNAcentral describes it as "bacterial SSU rRNA". It matches the Rfam family "Bacterial small subunit ribosomal RNA", at positions 355 to 774 of the family's 1533-position model. The record is from RNAcentral.
UAGGGAAUAUUGGACAAUGGGGGCAACCCUGAUCCAGCCAUGCCGCGUGAGUGAAGAAGGCCCUCGGGUUGUAAAGCUCUUUUGUCCGGAAAGAAAAGCUUCGGGUUAAUACCCCGGGGUUCUGACGGUACCGGAAGAAUAAGCACCGGCUAACUCCGUGCCAGCAGCCGCGGUAAUACGGAGGGUGCAAGCGUUAUCCGGAUUCACUGGGUUUAAAGGGUGCGUAGGUGGGCAGGUAAGUCAGUGGUGAAAUCUCCGGGCUUAACCCGGAAACUGCCGUUGAUACUAUUUGUCUUGAAUAUUGUGGAGGUAAGCGGAAUAUGUCAUGUAGCGGUGAAAUGCUUAGAUAUGACAUAGAACACCAAUUGCGAAGGCAGCUUACUACACAAUCAUUGACGCUGAGGCACGAAAGCGUGGGGAUCAAACA